ACACUGAUGCAUUACAGCACAGGUGGAGCCUGGUGUGCAGGCUGCGCCACCUUGUGGUGGAUGUUACCAGCUGCUCUUUAUGGAAAAUCUGACACUGUGUGUUUUAACAGUCUGGUUGAAGUUUUUUCUGCAGGUAGUGAUGUAAAGUAAAACCAUUUAAACCAUUUUUACUCUGUUGUAUUUUCUCAGUUGUGGAGGAAAUACUCAGAUCCUUUACUUCAUUAAAAUAGUGAAACAACAGUGUAAAAACACGAGUACAAGUAAAAGUCCUGCAUUGAAAAUAUUACUUUAGUGAAAGUACUCUCAUCAAAAUAUAUAUUUAUAUUAAUUAUAAUUAUUGAUGUAUCAAAGGAUAAGUUCACCCAAAAUGUUUUUUUUUUUUUUUUUUUUUUUGCGCUGGCAUCGACACGGAUUGUUGUAUUCUGAAAAGUAACCGGAUGUUAUGAUGUUGUUUCCGCGUGUAACUUCCGGUCUAGAAUCCCCGAUACUAACUGCCGGAAACCGCCGAGGGAGUCCGAGUCCUCGCGAGCAGCGGGAGUAUGAGGUCAUCGUUUUCAUCACAACAGAUCCACCUGCUCCUAGCUAAGCAGUUAUAAUCAUUCAAGCCAGUGAAGUUAAUCAUUGCGCGAAGAUCACCACAGUCUUCUCCUCCAAAUGCUCCAUCAGGCUGCCCUUUGGCCCACUGCAACCUACAGACAGAACAAAGCAUCCUGUGUGACUGAGCGCACUGUUCAGAUCAACGUGGCAGCAGAUUUGCAUGAACAGACUAGAAUAUUUGAGGAUAAUUGUCUAUAUGUUCAUCAAUCUCACCUGUCUUUGUUCACUGGUGUCCCAUCAACCCACAUCCAAGAUCCUUCCUCCUCCCUGUCCGUCAUACCAACCCACGCUGCCAUAGUGAAUCCAGUGAGGAAGGCCUGGAAGAAAUCAACAUCCUCAUAAACAACAGCCUCAGAUAGACACACACUGUCACACUGAAUAAAAAUAUGCCCUUGGGAAUGAA
Molecule: long non-coding RNA, 1000 nt
Organism: Acanthopagrus latus (yellowfin seabream)
Lineage: Eukaryota; Metazoa; Chordata; Actinopteri; Spariformes; Sparidae
Exons: 2
Source: RefSeq, a predicted model, not a curated record